Molecule: long non-coding RNA, 1034 nt
Organism: Eriocheir sinensis (Chinese mitten crab)
Lineage: Eukaryota; Metazoa; Arthropoda; Malacostraca; Decapoda; Varunidae
Exons: 3
Source: RefSeq, a predicted model, not a curated record
CACACACACACACACACACACACACACACACACACACACACACACACACACACACACACACACACACACACACAUACACACACACACACACACACACACACACACACACACACACACACACACACACACACACACACACACACACACACACACACACACACACACACACACACACACACACACACAUCUGUUCAUGUGAGAUAAAAAUCACGGAAAAAAAUGUUUCGAUGACAUCUCCAUGUAUCUGAGGCCACGCCUUCUGGUCUUCGGAAGCCUUAAUGAUUCAAGUCAUUACAAUAAACCUCGGGUCAUUAAGGACUGACCUGAGGAACACACACACACACACACACACACACACACACACACACACACACACACACACACACACAUGUACAAACGAACACACAAUGUCGAGGGGUAUUUAUGGACGUCAAGCCAACAAGCACUUCACAGGCUCUCAAGGUGGUCUCGGGUCAAGAGGUCUCCUGUUCUUGUUUCCCGUAAACAUGAGGACCCCUGUACACCCCUGUAUCAAAUGUUCAUGGUGUAAUAAUUACUUCCCGUUGUCCGCACUCGUAGCUCAUAGGGCGGCCUGCCUUCCAGAGGGCCUUGGGACUGGAUCGAAAGAUAUAUCUACUAGAAACAAUGGUAAGUACUUAAAUGUUUGCGUUACUUUAUAUGAUUGUCAUAAAAAAACAGUAGCAGAUGUGGAUGACGGGAGGGAGGUAGAGAGCUGGGCAGCAUGGGCAAUAUCGACUUUAGUCUUUCUAUCUUUUUUCAGAAGAGACGUCGUCGACUAGCUCUGAUCGAUCAGAUGUCGGUUUCUCUCAACCAGACCCCAGCGAUAUUGGAAGUUGUUCUCCACGGGCGGGUCUCAGCGACGAAGCCAGUCAAAACCAAAGGACUAUCUCCGAAGAAGGCGGGUCUGGUAGGCUCAGCCAUUGGCCCUCCUCUUCAACGAUCGGUAGUGGAGGAAAACGAAAACAAGCGAAUACAGGAACAAACGACACCUGCAGGAAAAAGCAAGCCCGUCG